AAAAAGGGGGAAAAAAACAUUAAAAAAAAGGUAGGUUUAUGUUACAAAGCCCAUUUAAUAUGAAAAUGGAAUAUUGUACGUCCAUAUCAUAGUGGGCCGAUAGUGUAGACAUGGGCCCUUUUUCCUUUUACUGUACAAACAAUAGAAGAAAUUGUUAUGCUAGAGAGACAAAUAGUAGUAACUGAAAGCUGUUGUAAUAAGAAUGCCCAAGUCGGCGACAAAAAAAAAAAAAAAAAAAGAAUGCUCAAGUCUUUGCAUCUCUAUGUUUUGAUUAUUUACAUUAUUUUAACGUACACUUGCUAUCUGAUUAUUUGGAUAAUGAUUUAUAAAAGAUGAGUGUGAUUCCCUUGAUA
This 353-nucleotide long non-coding RNA is filed under the name Capsella rubella. RNAcentral describes it as "long non-coding RNA (CRUB_LNC003670)". Lineage: Eukaryota; Viridiplantae; Streptophyta; Magnoliopsida; Brassicales; Brassicaceae. The record is from RNAcentral.